RNAcentral lists this long non-coding RNA (281 nucleotides) under Physcomitrium patens. RNAcentral describes it as "long non-coding RNA (PPAT_LNC006472)". The record is from RNAcentral. Lineage: Eukaryota; Viridiplantae; Streptophyta; Bryopsida; Funariales; Funariaceae.
UUUCAUUUUUCUUAUUCUUAUUUUUAACUAAAAUAUUAUGAAGUAUGAAAAUUAUGAGCUAAUAUCAACAGUCUAAUUAUUAGUUGUUGAGGUUCUAAUUUACCAUCGGAUUUGAUUUAGGAUUUGUCUAUGAUUUGGUUAGGACUUAGGAUUUGAUCUAAGAUUUGGUUAGGAUUAUGAUUUUAUUAGGAUUUGAUAUAGAACUUAUCUAGGAUUUAGGAUUUUAUUAAGAUUUGGCCUAGGAUUUAGUUAAAAUUCAAUUAGGAUUUCAAUUAGAAUUG